RNAcentral lists this small RNA (546 nucleotides) under Pongo abelii (Sumatran orangutan). RNAcentral describes it as "retained intron". The record is from RNAcentral. Lineage: Eukaryota; Metazoa; Chordata; Mammalia; Primates; Hominidae.
AAGUGAAGACCUGACUCUAAAAGAGAUAUAAUGUGUUUCAGGCACCUCUGGGGUGGCAUCUGGCACAACAGUUUCCCCUGGAAGUUUCAGCACAGCCACAAUUUCUCCUGGAGCAAGUAGAACGACUGGGGCUGGACCCACUACAGAAACUACAACUUCCCUAGGAGGAGGUGGCACCAUUGGAGCAGAAAUAAAAUCAGGAGCCACCUCCGGAGCACCAGGAAGUAAGACAGGCACAGCUGCAGUGCCCUCUGCUACAACAGUUGCCCCUGGGAGCUCCAACUCAGAGGCCACGACUUCUUUAGGAGAUAGUGGAAAAACAAGAACUGAAACAAUCACAGGUGCUACUGAGGGUAAAACUCUGGCAGCUGGAAGUGCCCACACAGAGGCCACAACUUUCUCAGGAGGCAGCGGGACCACCCGAGCAAGACCACCGGGAGGCACUUCUGGCACAUCAGGAGGAUAUGUCCCUGGAAGGGAAACAGAGCCCACAACUUCCAUUAAAGAAACUGGAACUUCCAGAACUAUAUUCAAAACUGUAGGCAU